This 291-nucleotide long non-coding RNA is filed under the name Rosa chinensis. RNAcentral's name for it is "sRNA RchiOBHm_Chr4g0410911". The record is from RNAcentral. Lineage: Eukaryota; Viridiplantae; Streptophyta; Magnoliopsida; Rosales; Rosaceae.
UAAGGUGUGUUUCUUUGCUUUGCACGAAGAGAUAGAGAGAGAGAUCGGAGGGAAAUUCUCACCUCAUCAUCUCAGCACGAGGUUUUUAUUGGGUGGUUUGUAUCAAAUCUUCUCAGCUUUCAUCACCGACCCUAAAAACUUGGGUUCGUCAUCAGCAAGGUAAUUAGGUGAGCGGGUUCUGGAUUUUGACCGACGAUCUACCCAUAAAAGGUAAUAAUCAAUCAUCUGCUUUUCCCUUUUAAUCUGUUCUAUUGUUCUAUCUUUGAUUCUUUGAUGCUUCGACUGGUCUGA